CACCAUAUUUAUUUAAUAGGGGA
RNAcentral lists this non-coding RNA (23 nucleotides) under Arabidopsis thaliana (thale cress). The record is from RNAcentral. Lineage: Eukaryota; Viridiplantae; Streptophyta; Magnoliopsida; Brassicales; Brassicaceae.